AGGGUUGUGGCUCAACGGUACAGCGUGCACCUAGCACGCGCAAGGCCCUGGGUUCGAUCCUCAGCACCACAU
This 72-nucleotide transfer RNA is filed under the name Ictidomys tridecemlineatus (thirteen-lined ground squirrel). RNAcentral's name for it is "Spermophilus tridecemlineatus (thirteen-lined ground squirrel) tRNA". It matches the Rfam family "tRNA". From Rfam's summary of the family: Transfer RNA (tRNA) molecules are approximately 80 nucleotides in length. Their secondary structure includes four short double-helical elements and three loops (D, anti-codon, and T loops). The record is from Rfam by way of RNAcentral. Lineage: Eukaryota; Metazoa; Chordata; Mammalia; Rodentia; Sciuridae.